Long non-coding RNA from Carlito syrichta (Philippine tarsier), 591 nucleotides. RefSeq lists it as uncharacterized. The record is from RefSeq and is a predicted model, not a curated record. Lineage: Eukaryota; Metazoa; Chordata; Mammalia; Primates; Tarsiidae. The transcript has 3 exons.
AGAGUGGGUUCAGAUGGCUCCAACUCUAUUUUCUAAAUUUAUUCCAAACAUUCUCCCUCCGGCAGUGGAAUCUGAACUUUCUGAAUAUGCUGCUCAAGAUCAGAAACUUCAAAGAGAACUUAUACAGAAUGGUUUUACAAGAGGUGACCAGUCCCGGAAGAGAGCUGGGGAUGAGUUGGCUUAUAACAGCUCAUCAGCAUGUGCAAGUUCCAGAGGGUACAGAUAGUAAACGUAUUGAAUGUACUUUCCUCCUGAAAAGAGGACACACUGGAGCUGCAGAGACUGUAUUCAGAGCACAGUGGGGGCCUGCAGACACUCAGGAGCUCUGUCACAAAGCUGUUCUUGGAAGAGGAUGUUGGACUUCUUACUUUGGUUUGUAAUUUUAAAAAACAGAAAUUAACAAAAAACAAAAACAUAAAAACAGUUGCUGCUAGACUUGGGGGUGAUUUUGAAAUGGGACAAUCUUUUAAUGAGUUUAUCUACAGAUUCUGAAAAGAACAAGCAUCUUGGAAAGUGAUCAUUGCUAAGUGAAAUCCAACAGCCAAAAUCAGCAGCCUCCUCCAAAAAUAUAACAGCAGAAGAAUCUUUUUU